This is a long non-coding RNA of Sebastes umbrosus (honeycomb rockfish), 825 nucleotides long. RefSeq lists it as uncharacterized. The record is from RefSeq and is a predicted model, not a curated record. NCBI's taxonomy places the organism in Eukaryota, Metazoa, Chordata, Actinopteri, Perciformes, Sebastidae. The transcript has 2 exons.
UGCCCCACGUGGAUUUUAUUCUCUUGAAUUUGUUUAAUUUAGAAAGCCCAUUGGGUUAAACAAGUUGUGUAUGUAUAGAGAGAGGGGUCUCUUACAUAAAAAGGGUGAAUAAUGAUUAAGGCCCUGUCUCUUGAUGGAGAGACUGAAUCAGUGUCAAUAGUGCUGUUGUGUAACUUAAAAGUAUAAUUUGCAACAAUUAACUGAAAACAAUGUAUAGACUGGUACAAAAAUAAUCCCUCUCAAUCAUCACUUAAUGCCCAACUAUAAGUGUGUGGCAGUGUCUGUUUCUGCAGAGACCCUGCCCUCUGCCUGUAUUUUCUCUUUUCUUCUUAUUUUGCCUUACUUGGGACGCUUCUGGGCGUCUGCAAAGUGGCCUUGUGCCCCCAAUAACAGCGCACAGGGUGUGCAGCCUGUUCAGGUAGUCACUGCUUUGUCACGCCCCUCGACUUCUGAUACCGAGGUACAAGGCUAUGCAGAGUUGUGCGGAGUUAGUUGUGUGUUUUAGAACAUAACUGCCGGGAAACAAUCAGAAAAUAACGUUUUAUUUCCCUGAUUUGCUGCUUUGUUCUCACUAACGCCGCUCUCUCUCUUCAGUCACUCUAGCUCGCUCGACCACCGCUGCUCUCUCUCUCUCUUUCUCAGCUCGUUGAGCUGUAAAGGUGUCGCCAACUUUGAAUACUGUGUGUUCAUAAACAGCAACCAACAACUGUUACAUAUUAUACCUAUAAAAUACAUCUGGCAUACCUGUAGAAAGGGACCAAAUUACAAAAUCAACAAAACAUCGUCCAUUUUUCAUCUUAACCAGCUAUACAAAUUACCACAAAA